RNAcentral lists this long non-coding RNA (3996 nucleotides) under Triticum aestivum (bread wheat). Its description in RNAcentral is "long non-coding RNA (TAES_LNC009293)". The record is from RNAcentral. Lineage: Eukaryota; Viridiplantae; Streptophyta; Magnoliopsida; Poales; Poaceae.
UGAUGUCAAAGUAAAAUUAUAGGGACAAUAUUCCAUGAAGGUAGGCUGAUUCGAAGGUUCAUGCUUGUUUGUUGAACUUUUGGUGAUUUUGAGUAAUAAUGUGAAACCACCCCCUUUCGUUUCUGUGUUGGUUACUAUUCUUUACUUUUUUCCUCCGGCCAUCUUCAAUGUUCAAAGACAUAGAUGUAACUUUUGACCAGGGUUUCAGACUUCACAUGACGUGUAGUUAACUUUUGAUCAGCAUUCAACAUCAUGGAUGAUUUGAACUUAUUAUUAAGGAAAUACAUAAUAAGUGUAUAGUUAUUUUGAAGUUUGAAUAGCAAGUUAUGUUCAUAAAUUCAACUGCCAGAAUUAUGUACUGCAGACUAUCUAUAAACCAGAGUAUUGUAAAAAUGAUUCGAUGCAAGUUAUAUUGUAGCGUCCUGCAUCCAUUCAGAUGAGAUUUUGUAGUUUUUCCUGUUGUACAGCAACCACAUAUACCAUAAACCAGUUUCUAGACUAAAUUAUAGAAAUGAUGGGGAAAUAUGUACAUAACUCUCUACAAGUAGUUAUGUGCAUAUGCAUACACAUUUGUACAUUAGCAUGCACAAGCUAUAUUGAACCGAGUAAUGAUUUCUCAAAUUUCAAUCUUACUAAUAUAAUUGUUUAUUGAUUCUUUCCAUGGAAUGCCCCCUUAGUGCUCUUCCUUUGUCCUACUAAUUUUGCUCUGUUUUUUUAUCUUUUAAGUUUCCCCAUCUAUCAUGAUGGUGGAAGUGGAACUAUAUAGAGCAGCUGGAGAUACUUGAGAGUAUAACAAGGUCAGGGCUGUUCAUUCGCACUUGCAGUUGCACCAUUUCUGCCUUUGCAAUCAAUAUGAGUAGGUGUAAGACUGCAUUGUGUUCUUUUGCACUUGCACUUGAAGUCUUUGUGGCUGUUAAUUUGAAAUGAUAUGCUGAUCUAUAGGCUGGUACUCUAUUUUUUCGUCCCCUCAAUACUGGCUGCACUUACUGAUAGUUGCAUGAUGAUUUGUCAACAAUCUCGAGAAGUAUCUCGGAAUUGUACAAUGUUGGCAAUUUGCUGUAAUGUUGUUUCUGCUUCUGAUCAUAGCUUAGUCAUUUCAGCAUUGAUGUUAUUCUACUGUAUGAUGACUAGUCUUGCUCGAUUUGGUGCUUUCUUGAUCAUUUGCCACUUCAAUGAAUGGAAGACUUACCAUCUUUCCUUUAGUGCAGUUUAAUUCUAGUUAAAAACAAAGAACCAUGUAAUAUCUAUUUUUGCAUGUACACUUUAUCUUUAUAUGCCCAAAUACCACCUUUUGCUAUUCUAGAAAGCAGCAGGUGCUGUCAUACUGAGUUUAGCUUAUUGAUGAUUCUAGUUUGCCCAGCCUGCUACUAAUGGCUUCUCUCCACGCCUCUCUCUCUCUCUCUCUCUCUCUCUCUCUCUCUCUCUCUCUCUCUCUCUCUCUGUCCAGUGUAGUGUUGCUGUUCUUUCUUUAUGGCUAGGCCACGUAGGUUGCCGUCAAAACUUCUCCCAAGAUAUGUUUUAGGAAAUGAGUGUUUCUUGUUUUUUGAUGUUUUAGGAAACAGCAGGCGUUAUCAUCGCUGAGUUUAGCUACUGAUAGUGCUAGUGUUCUCAGCGCAAGGACUCCUCUUCCUUCUUUCUCUCCCUCUCUCUCUUUCUCUCUGUCUCAUGGCUGCCGGUGCACCACGUCUUCCAUAUGAUUCAAUUCAGUUUCUUCCCCCUCCAGCACCUCCAGCGGGCCUCACUUUCUGGGAGAUCCUUGGAAUCGCCCACAUCAUCAUCUUAGGUGUUGCUGUCCUUGUGAUUGUUGUGUUGGGUGGAAUUUACAUCCUGCUGAAGAUGUUUCUCAAGCAGGAGCGAAGCGACCCAGGAAACGACGGUGGCGGCGGGGAUGUGGAGCUCGCUGCCAUAGCAGAGCUUCCACCAGCUCCCCGGCACGACCCACACCUACGCCCUGUUGCGUGACUGCAUGAGGUAUGUGUGUCCUCCUGUUUCUCUUUCUGUCAACGGCUUGUUUGGUUGUCCAGAACCCCCCGAGAUCCUGGCAUAAUCCCUGGGGGAGGAAUCCAUAGCGUCCCUCCCAUCCUUGACUUCCUAUGCCUCUCUCCGGUGAUUGCCGCUCCCACAGCCUCUUCCUCAAGCAGAUCAUGUACCUGCUACCCAGCAUACGUGGCAUCUUCCCAGCUCAGAUCUCAGGACUUGUCCUCCUCUGACAUGUUCGGAGCACUUUUUUUGACACCUGAAACAGUAGGAGAGGCUCCUACUGUGUAAUAAAUUAAUAAGAAAGAGUACUGUACUAUAAGUUAGGAGAGACGAAGUCUUCUUUCAGUCUAGAAAGCCAGGAGUUUCUUGGUGGUAUCCCUCUGAAGUGCUUAUUGUUUCGUUCUUUCCAAAUGCUGCAAGCAGAUUGAAGGAAGAUCUACAUGAACAGUAGUGGUCUACUCCAUGAAUUUCUUGCUGAUUCAACCCAUUGGAGACGUGUACCUUGGCUGCAGCCCUGCAUGCCAAGUUCAGUCCAGCAGUUGAGACUAAAAGAGCAUUCGAAGAAGAGAUGCUCCACAGUUUCUUCUAAGCAUGUUGCACAUAGUAGGCACCCGAAGUCGUUCCCAAUGUUAUAGUGUCUUCUCUUUAGCACAUUUCUAGUGUUGAGCUUAUCAGAGAGGAGCAACCAACCAAAAACUUUGACUUUCAUUGUUGCUUUGGAUUUCCAAAUCCAAGUGUAGGCUUGAUGUGCUUGAAUGUCCUUGAAAUAGAAGGUGUAGUAUUUGUUGGCAGAGUAAUAUGGUGAUCCCCAUAUGCAUGUCCACUCAUCAUGGAUUAGUGGGUCUUGUCUUCACAACAUUAUAUUGUAUAUCUUCUAUGAGAGAAAAAAAAAUCCGAUGAACACAUCCAUUCUUACGGGGGGUAAGUAUAUCAGAGAAAUAUUGGAUGGCCACCCUCAACGGUGCCUUGAUAUUCUUAGGAUGGAAUCCCACAUCUUCCAAGCUCUAUGCGACCAUCUUAGAUCCAAAAAUAUUCUACGAAAUUCAAAAGGAGUUAGCGUUGAAGAGCAACUAGGGAUGUUUAUGUACAUGCUUUCCAGGAAUGCGAGUUAUCGUAUGCUGACAGAUAGGUUUCAACUAGGGAUUAUACUAAAGAUAAGUUUGUAAGGCUUAGUUGAGCGAGUAUUCCUUUGCAGCUCGGUUUUCAUCUGGCAGUAUUCCUAAUCAAUCUGGUGCUCUGAUCAUAGGUAUUGUCCUUGCUCCUUUUAUUUCCAUUAGGUGAAGCAUACCUUGCUUGCUCCUGGAGUCCCUUUGGCCUCAACGAGGCUCCGCUAGUGGGAGGGAGUAACAUAAUAUUCUGGACAUGUUUGUUAUUAUCCACAAUAGACCUGUGUUGAGAACUUGCAAUUCUUGGAGCUAUCAUUUUUGCAUUCAAAAUCAUAUAGACCUGCUGCUGUCUAGAACAUCUUUUCUUAUUUAAGAUGUUGUUUAUAUUGCUGCCAUGUUGUUUCUUCAUAUCGGUGUUUUUUGAAAAAUAAUAUGGUUUCUUUAAAUUUAGUGACAUGCUAUGGCUACCUUGUACCAUCUGGCUCCCCUUGGUAAUUCAGGAUUUUGUGCUAAUCUUUUUGACAUACAUGGUUGUUCUUGACAUGUGUGGCUGGUAUCCUUCAUAGAGCACAAAGUGUUCUUACAUAGCUAAUGUUUUUCAUUUUUUUCUUUUCAGGAUGUCCUUUCACAUGAUUCUAUGAUUACCCGAGUCCAUGAAGCAAUCAAUAAUCUUCCUGAAAUAUUUUAUGUCUAAGCGCACAAUGAUUGAACAAUUGCCUCAAUAAAUUUGGUUAUGUAGCAUGCGGAUGAGACGAGACAAGUAUGCCUCAAUAAAUUUGUAAAUUAAACUACUGACUUUGAGCACUAUGAGUUAUUGGAACUAUGUUCAAAUGGAUGAUUGCAAAAAUAUUAUCCUUUUUUUAUGUUGUUGUACUGUUAUAUAAAUAAAAAAAAUUAGCUCAUUUUAUAC